This is a microRNA precursor of Arabis alpina (gray rockcress), 100 nucleotides long. The record is from Rfam. NCBI's taxonomy places the organism in Eukaryota, Viridiplantae, Streptophyta, Magnoliopsida, Brassicales, Brassicaceae.
AGAAUGAGAUUGAGCCAAGGAUGACUUGCCGGUUCUACCUAAUUAAUCUUAAACCGAUUUUGGUGUCCGGCAAGUUGACCUUGGCUCUGUUUCCUUCUCU